RNAcentral lists this ribosomal RNA (400 nucleotides) under Janibacter sp. 16A(2010). Its description in RNAcentral is "bacterial SSU rRNA". It matches the Rfam family "Bacterial small subunit ribosomal RNA", at positions 272 to 684 of the family's 1533-position model. The record is from RNAcentral. Lineage: Bacteria; Bacillati; Actinomycetota; Actinomycetes; Micrococcales; Intrasporangiaceae.
GGCGACGACGGGUAGCCGGCCUGAGAGGGCGACCGGCCACACUGGGACUGAGACACGGCCCAGACUCCUACGGGAGGCAGCAGUGGGGAAUAUUGCACAAUGGGCGAAAGCCUGAUGCAGCGACGCCGCGUGAGGGAUGACGGCCUUCGGGUUGUAAACCUCUUUCAGCAGGGAAGAAGCGAAAGUGACGGUACCUGCAGAAGAAGCACCGGCUAACUACGUGCCAGCAGCCGCGGUAAUACGUAGGGUGCGAGCGUUGUCCGGAAUUAUUGGGCGUAAAGAGCUUGUAGGCGGUUUGUCGCGUCUGCUGUGAAAAUCCGGGGCUCAACCCCGGACUUGCAGUGGGUACGGGCAGACUAGAGUGUGGUAGGGGAGACUGGAAUUCCUGGUGUAGCGGUGA